RNAcentral lists this transfer RNA (74 nucleotides) under Octopus sinensis (East Asian common octopus). RNAcentral's name for it is "tRNA-Ile". It matches the Rfam family "tRNA". From Rfam's summary of the family: Transfer RNA (tRNA) molecules are approximately 80 nucleotides in length. Their secondary structure includes four short double-helical elements and three loops (D, anti-codon, and T loops). The record is from RNAcentral. Lineage: Eukaryota; Metazoa; Mollusca; Cephalopoda; Octopoda; Octopodidae.
GCCCCGGUGGCGCAAUCGGUUAGCGCGCCGUACUUAUAAUGCGGAGGUUGUGAGUUCGACCCUCACCCGGGACA